Molecule: long non-coding RNA, 217 nt
Filed under: Nicotiana benthamiana
Lineage: Eukaryota; Viridiplantae; Streptophyta; Magnoliopsida; Solanales; Solanaceae
Description: long non-coding RNA (NBEN_LNC002048)
Source: RNAcentral
AGAAAUACAGGGCAAAUGGUUCCAUCUUGUUGCAUUGGAGCAUUUGGAAAGAGGAAUCUGAGGUGUUUUUAUGGAGUCUCAACUCCAAUACAUGUAUCGAAGACUAGACGCUUAUUGAAUCUCUUUGCUUGGUGUAAUAAUUGUAAUGUAAAUACUGCUCUUAUGCUUUUGAAUUUUUGUAAGCUCCUUGAAUUUUAGAUAGGAGUGUACAGGUGCU